This 236-nucleotide long non-coding RNA is filed under the name Phoenix dactylifera (date palm). Its description in RNAcentral is "long non-coding RNA (PDAC_LNC006867)". Lineage: Eukaryota; Viridiplantae; Streptophyta; Magnoliopsida; Arecales; Arecaceae. The record is from RNAcentral.
UUGAUUCGAAGUGCAGAAUUGGGAGUAAGAAACUUUAGUUAAGAGUCCACUCUUUAAGUGGUAAGGCAAUCAGUGGAUGAUAACAAUGAGGAGAUUAGGGAGCUAUGUUGGCUUAGUGUAAAAGCCAGUGGAGAGGAUCAGGAGUUGGGAGGGGUACUUCAAGGAAGGAGAAAAAGGAGGGGAUGGGUUUCAACGAGAAGUUAAAAGGUAAUACAACGAGUGGCUUCAGGAUAGGG